Molecule: long non-coding RNA, 617 nt
Filed under: Androctonus crassicauda
Lineage: Eukaryota; Metazoa; Arthropoda; Arachnida; Scorpiones; Buthidae
Source: RNAcentral
UCUAAUUGGACUGCAGUUAAUUAGUUUAUUGUUGCUCAGCACCCAAUGCCCUUACCCAUGUGCAAAGUAGGUUUGGCUGCAAUUUCCUGGAAAGAAGUGGGUGCCAUUAGGCCUAAUCGACACUAUCGAGCCAGUCACAAUUUGAUUUCUCCUCACUUUCAUUCCAAUCAUUUUACAAUAUGUUCACAUAUAUACUCACUGGUAAGUCCGAAAUUGGUCUCCAGAUUAUAUGUAGUCACUGGUUCGCUGUAGAAAACAGUAUUAAAUUUUUCAUCUGAAGAGUUAGCAAUUUAUGGAUAUUCUUCUCAAUGAGAUUAUUUAUUUACACUAUGGGGGACUCAACCAUUACACAGUGUAAACAGGUUCAUUACCAACAAUGCAGAAAUAUUUGACCAGAGCUAGAUUGAACCAUGAGUGGUUUUAUAGUGUGAAUCAAACUUUAAUCCUAAUCAUCUAAUUCAAUUGUUAACUUUUGACCAUCAAAAAUUCAGAAAUCUGGUCUCUAAACCAAUCUGAAUUGUUUUACUGUGUUCUUCAUCUCCUCAUUAGGGUUUACUUUGUUUAUUCAGCUAUCUUAAUCAGAUAAUUUAUAAUUUGGAAAAGUUUGGCCUCUUGCU